CACUGUUUGGUACCUCUUGAGGACCCGUAGUGUCCACGGCGGGAUUCAAGUCAAGUAGGGAACCUAAAGUGUCAAGACUUUGUUUUAUUUACGUUAAAAACCUUACAUAGAGAACGACAUUUGACCUAGCGCAAGUAAUUUAAAUGCAUCAAAGGAAAUGGACUUAUCGUUGUUAGCAAAAAGAUUAUGGCGUCAGUUUAGUUAGCCCGCUAACUGUGCUAACGCAGCAGUAGCAUUAGCAGUGUGACAGUGAAACUGUUCUGACUAACUUCUUAUUGUAGGGUUCCGUGGCCAAAGAUGUGCUCUCUGGCCUUGUUCCCCCCUCCGCUUCCAUCUGGACACUCGACGUUGUGUGAGUCCAACAACGAGCUGCUGUCGGGGAACAACCCGGAGGAGCGACUGGAACAGGAGUCAAGUCCUCUGAGUUUGUACUUCCCCAGAGAGUCCCUGAAGUUGCACAGUCGCACUGAGAACAGCAGCAAGGCAGCCUUCCUGGACCACUCGGAGACAUUGUGGAUGAGGAGCGCAGCAGCUUGGCGGGAUGGUGGUAUCACAGGACUACUGAAUGAAAUCACAAACUCCCAUGAAGAAGUGCCUAAAUGGUUGUCGGUGAGUUCUGGCUGCAUCCUGGCAUUAUUGCAGAGGAUCUCUUCUUUUCAUGGCUCCUUGUUUCCUCAUCUCACAUUGAGCAACGAGAACAUGAUUGCAGAGUUUUCCCAAGCAUUAAACUGGUCGGACUGUGUGGUGCGAGCCUUUGCCUGGCAUCCUCAUACUGAUAAAUUUGCUGUUGCCCUGCUGGAUGACUCCAUUAAGAUCUACAAUCCCAAAAGUGCUACAACUCCCACCCUGAAGCACCGUCUCCAGAGGAGCGUUGCAGCGUUGCAGUGGAAGCCGUUGUGUGCAUCUGGCCUCGCAGUGGCUUGCCAGAACUGUUUGCUGGUCUGGCACGUGGACCCCUGCUCACUAUCCACAAGGCCUUCAUCUGGAUGUGCACAAGUUUUGUCUCAUCCCGGGCACUCUCCAGUCACUUCCAUUGCUUGGUCGCCAAGUGGCUCUCUCCUUGUGUCUGCCUCGCCUAUGGACACCGCAAUGAUGGUGUGGGAUGUUGCGGCAGAGAGCUGUGUGCCCCUCCAGCGUGUUGGAGGAGGUGGGGUCAGCUUCCUAUCGUGGUCCACUGAUGGAAGCCGUCUUCUUGCCUCGACACCGUCUGCUCUCUUCAGGGUCUGGGAGACCAGAAUGUGGACGUGUGAACGUUGGCCAUGUGUCAAAGGCCGUUGUCAGUCUGGCUAUUGGAGUCCAGAUGGGAGUCGACUUCUCUUCACUGUACAAGGAGAAACUGUCAUCUACGCUUUGACCUUCACUGACACACCAGGUGUACCCACAUGCACAUCCAAAGGGCCACAAGCAGCAGCUGUGGUGGCUGACCUAUCAGAGACGACCUUUAACACACCGGAGGGAGACAUCAUUGUCGGUGGAGAGAUCCAGUCCUUGACCUGGGACCCAAGAGGGGAGAGGCUUGCUGUGCUUCUCAAAGGUGAUCCACAAGCAGCCCGACCUGCAAUCAUUGCUGUGUUUAAGACCAGAACGAAGCCCAUUUUUGAACUUUUGCCAUGUGGUUUUGUUCAAGGAGAUCCUGGUGCGGAACCAAGACUGAUGCAGUUCCACCCAAAUUUUCAGCAUGGGGCUCUGCUCACUGUGGGUGGCACAGUUUGAGGUCUCUGCAGGAGCGAGCAGGGUUUUUCUGAGAGCCAUCGGGGCUGCGCAGGUUCUCAAUCUGGUUGUUGAGGGACUUGAGCGUGGAGUCAACCUCAACAUCAUGCUGUCUCAGGGAGCUGGAGGCCUCAUCAGCCCUCAUGUACCGCAGAGGAUCGGGAGACUUCUCAGUCUGUCCCAGACCAGCGAAGGCAGACAUGUCAAUGCCAGGGCCUGGAGGGCCAGGGGGACCAGGGGGUCCGGCAUUUCCAGGAGGACCCUAAAAAAGCUGGGCCAGAUUCUCCAGAGCGUCCACGAGGUCCGGGUGGUCCAAUGGGGCCAGGCUGUCCAUUAGAUCCAUCUUUGCCAGCGGGUCCGGUUGGUCCAGGUGGUCCCUAUAGCAACAGUGUGUGUUAAAUUACCAGCAAAAGACUCACCGCUCUCUCCCUUAUCUCCACGUGGUCCUUGGGGUCCCUGGAGUGAGGAAUGAAGUCUUACAAUUCAAAACUUCAAGCAGCACUCAACUAUAAUCUUUCAAUCUGAAGCGGAUUAGAAGUUUUCAUUUUGCGCAGAUGAGACUCACAGCCAUUCCUCGAGCACCAGCGAGUCCAGGUGGUCCUGCAGGUCCUUGUGCACCCUGAAGAGAGUAGAGUUCACAUUGAUGUCAAUGCAUUUCUAACAGUAUACAGAGGUCCGACAGGUCCAGGGGCACCGGGAGCACCAGGAGCACCAGGGGCACCAGCAGGACCAGUGUUACCUCGCUCUCCCUACAGAAGAACACAAACUACUGACUUAAUGGCUCUCAUCAAGUUUUUCCAGCACAGAAAAAUCGGACAGAUUUUCUUUCUUAGGACCACUUGGACUUUUUUCUCUCACCUUGAUUCCAACGGAUCCGUCCCUACCAGGUGGUCCAUCUGAUCCAGGCGUACCCUGAAACACAGGAAGACUUUAUUUAAUAACUCACUUUAAUGCAUUCAUUAUUAAUAUAAGCAUAGUAGUUAAUGUGUUAGUUUGUCUUAAGUCCUCAUAGUCCCACCUCCCUUCCAGUCUCUCCAGCAGGUCCAGUAAGUCCAGGGGGUCCUACAGGUCCAGGAGGUCCACGGUCACCAGAAGAGCCAGGGCCUCCUUGUUUCCCAGGCUCACCCUGAACACGGAAAGGUCCAGGAAGGCCAGGGAAGCCUCUCUCUCCACGCUGACCAGGCAAACCAACAAUACCACGAGAUCCAGCCAGACCCUGAGGACCUGAGGGUCCAUCUGCACCCUAUAGAGACAGAAAGGAUAGGAUCCAGCACAGCUCUCCUCAGAGCAGUCCUCGAAGGCCAGCAUCUCCCUGUCUUCCAGGGGGUCCACCAUCACCACGGGCACCCUUUGGUCCAUCUUUGCCAGCAGGACCAGCAGGUCCAACAGCGCCAGGGUUACCCUGUGAUAGAAACAACAUCAUUGAUGAGUCAGAAACAUUACAGGUGUUCCAGGAAGUCCACGAGGUCCCUGAAGACCCUGAGGACCAGCACCGCCCCUCUCACCGGGGAAACCACGUUCACCCUGUCAGGAAACAGAAAAAAGAACGUGAAAACUCACUCUAGGUCCAACAGCACCAGGUGCUCCACCCUCUCCAGGAACCCCCUGCAGACAGACAGCAAAUGAGUUCAUUCCAGGUGGACCAGCAGGUCCAGGCAAACCAUCAUUUCCACGGGCACCCUGUGGAGUUGGGACAGGACAAUCAGACCAUUGGGAUGUGUACUUUCUAAGGGACACGAAGCUUUAGCAAGCUAACGCAGAAAUCACAACUCACUGCAGCUCCAGCAGCACCGGGACGUCCCCUCUCACCAGGCAGACCACGUGGGCCCUGGAAUGACAGAAAAUAAUUUUGUUAGCGUCAUCAUUGCAAUGCCCUACCUUCAAAAUGCAUGACUGUACAUCUGUGGGGCACUCACCAUGGGUCCGGGGGCGCCGUUCUCUCCAGAAGCACCAGACUCACCCUGAGAAUGAAAGGAGCAUAUAUUUGAAAUAACGUCAUAAGAAAAUACAGUCCUAAUAUUUUGAAAAGUGCUGCUCUCACCUUUGCACCGGCAGCACCGGUCUCUCCCUUGGCGCCAUCCAGACCAGGGUGACCCUACGAGGAAGAAGACAAGAAGGCCAGGAGUUCCAGGGAAUCCACGAGCUCCCUGAAAUUCAGAGAAGAAUAAUGAACAGCUGGUUCCUCUCCAGUUUCCUCUCAUCACUUCAAGUUAAUGACUUAUUCUCCAACCUGAGGUCCAGCAGGUCCACGCUCACCAGCUUUGCCAGGUUUGCCAGCCUCACCCUGCAGUAAAACAAGGAGUUGAAGGAUUAUUAACAGUCCUGCGGGUCCAGGUGGGCCAGGUGGCCCAGAGGGUCCGGGGUUUCCGGGGGUGCCAGGCUCGCCAUCUCUUCCACGAGGUCCAGGAUUUCCCUUGGGAAAAAAGAGCAGGGCAUUGGCACCGAAUCACAAGUCACAAGGAUUUGACAUCAGAAGAAGGCGACAGAAUGAUGAUCUUCAAUGCACGCUGGUCCACGUGUUCCCUGGUCACCUGGGGGGCCCUGCAAAGGCAAAAAUGUCCCAAGUCAGCAGCAUUCCAAGUGUGGCUAACACCUGCUCAAACCGCUUUACACCAAGAAACAGCUUUUAGCAGCCUGCAUGGAGCCCAGAAGAAUAUGAUGUUUACCAUCGGGCCUGCUGGUCCUCUUGGUCCUACAACCUGCAGCUGCUGAGAGAAUCUAAGAGGAUUUGAUGGGGGUCACCGUGUCCCAGGAAUGCAAGAUUUUUCUCAUUGAAUCCAAAGUCUAACAAGGCACUCAUGUAGAUAAUCCAUAAUGAUCACAGGACUCUAUGGGAAUCAUUUUAAUGGAAAUAAACUAAAUGAGAGAUGGAGUGUGGGCCUAAUGGUGCACUUUUCAUGUUUAAAGAGGGCAUAAUCUCGCAUUAGUUCAAAUGAAAGCAACAGUAGGUCCUUAUUGUGUUGUCAUCCGGCGAAAAGCGUUUUAUCGCGUGCAUUUCAAGCCUCACAGCCUCUCGGAGGAUUCACUUACAUCUGCAAUAUCUCCGGGUUCACCCU
RNA transcript from Dunckerocampus dactyliophorus (ringed pipefish), 4766 nucleotides. It is a transcript of the gene named achalasia, adrenocortical insufficiency, alacrimia, with no coding region annotated. The transcript has 28 exons. The record is from RefSeq and is a predicted model, not a curated record. Lineage: Eukaryota; Metazoa; Chordata; Actinopteri; Syngnathiformes; Syngnathidae.